GGGACCCGCACAAGCAGCGGAGCGUGUGGUUUAAUUCGUUGCUACACGAAGAACCUUACCUGGGUUUGACAUAUAGGUUGUAGGGAACUGAAAGGGACCGACCCUUCGGGGAGCCUAUACAGGUGUUGCAUGGCUGUCGUCAGCUCGUGUCGUGAGAUGUUCGGUUAAGUCCGCUAACGAGCGCAACCCUCGUCGUAUGUUAUAUGUGUCAUACGAGACUGCCGGUAAAAAGCCGGAGGAAGGUGAGGAUGAUGUCAAGUCAGCAUGACCUUUAUAUCCAGGGCUACACACACGCUACAAUGGUCUGUACAAUGGGUAGCCAAGCCGCGAGGCGGAGCCAAUCCUGAAAGCAGGCCUCAGUUCAGAUUGCAGUCUGCAACUCGACUGCAUGAAGCCGGAGUUGCUAGUAACCGCAGGUCAGCAAUACUGCGGUGAAUACGUUCCCGGGUCUU
Molecule: ribosomal RNA, 452 nt
Filed under: uncultured Anaerolineaceae bacterium
Lineage: Bacteria; Bacillati; Chloroflexota; Anaerolineae; Anaerolineales; Anaerolineaceae
Description: bacterial SSU rRNA
Rfam family: Bacterial small subunit ribosomal RNA
Source: RNAcentral